AAAAGAACUUUGGAGAGAGAGUCAAACAGUACGUGAAACCGUCAGGAGGGAAACGAACGAGGUCGGUGCAGUGAUCACGCAGGUUCAAGCCCUGCCGAAGGCGCCGACGCGAUGACAUAGCUUGUCCCGUGUCGUACGCCGGAGGCAGUGCCGUACUCCUCGUGAGCACGGACCAGCAGCGGUUGAGCCGGAGCCACAAGACCGCAGGGAAGGUGAGUCGAUGAGCACCUGUCGCACAUUGACGGCAUAUAGCCCUGCGGCACGGCGCUCCGGUCCGACCGAGGAAGGAGGGCAGCCCUUGCCCGUCGUGGUACACGCCGUAUGGCGGGGCCUCCCGACACAAGUGAACCAUGCGGUGUGGACUGCAUGCAGUGCACAUCGUGGUGGGGAUCUUGUGGCGGAGAGUGCCACCUGUGUGCCAGUGCUGCUGGUAUUCAGACAGCCUCGUUCGACCCGUCUUG
Molecule: small RNA, 461 nt
Filed under: Fascaplysinopsis sp. GW33330
Lineage: Eukaryota; Metazoa; Porifera; Demospongiae; Dictyoceratida; Thorectidae
Also listed under: 5 other names
Description: sequence contains 28S rRNA gene
Source: RNAcentral